UCAAGAACUGCUGAAGAAGGAUACCCCAG
This 29-nucleotide non-coding RNA is filed under the name Mus musculus (house mouse). Lineage: Eukaryota; Metazoa; Chordata; Mammalia; Rodentia; Muridae. The record is from RNAcentral.